RNAcentral lists this ribosomal RNA (292 nucleotides) under uncultured bacterium. RNAcentral describes it as "partial 16S ribosomal RNA". It matches the Rfam family "Bacterial small subunit ribosomal RNA", at positions 505 to 796 of the family's 1533-position model. The record is from RNAcentral.
GUGCCAGCAGCCGCGGUAAUACGGAGGAUCCAAGCGUUAUCCGGAUUUAUUGGGUUUAAAGGGUGCGUAGGCGGCCUAUUAAGUCAGGGGUGAAAGACGGUAGCUUAACUAUCGCAGUGCCCUUGAUACUGAUGGGCUUGAAUAUACUAGAGGUAGGCGGAAUGUGACAAGUAGCGGUGAAAUGCAUAGAUAUGUCACAGAACACCAAUUGCGAAGGCAGCUUACUAUGGUAUUAUUGACGCUGAGGCACGAAAGCGUGGGGAUCAAACAGGAUUAGAUACCCCCGUAGUCC